RNAcentral lists this ribosomal RNA (468 nucleotides) under uncultured bacterium. Its description in RNAcentral is "partial 16S ribosomal RNA". It matches the Rfam family "Bacterial small subunit ribosomal RNA", at positions 28 to 507 of the family's 1533-position model. The record is from RNAcentral.
GACGAACGCUGGCGGCGUGCUUAACACAUGCAAGUCGAACGGAAAGGCCCUGCUUUUGUGGGGUGCUCGAGUGGCGAACGGGUGAGUAACACGUGAGUAACCUGCCCUUGACUUUGGGAUAACUUCAGGAAACUGGGGCUAAUACCGGAUAGGAGCUCCUGCUGCAUGGUGGGGGUUGGAAAGUUUCGGCGGUUGGGGAUGUACUCGCGGCUUAUCAGCUUGUUGGUGGGGUAGUGGCUUACCAAGGCUUUGACGGGUAGCCGGCCUGAGAGGGGGACCGGCCACAUUGGGACUGAGAUACGGACCAGACUCCUACGGGAGGCAGCAGUGGGGAAUAUUGCACAAUGGGCGGAAGCCUGAUGCAGCAACGCCGCGUGCGGGAUGAAGGCCUUCGGGUUGUAAACCGCUUUCGCCUGUGACGAAGCGUGAGUGACGGUAAUGGGUAAAGAAGCACCGGCUAACUACGUG